Molecule: long non-coding RNA, 1991 nt
Organism: Canis lupus familiaris (dog)
Lineage: Eukaryota; Metazoa; Chordata; Mammalia; Carnivora; Canidae
Exons: 4
Source: RefSeq, a predicted model, not a curated record
GUUUGGGGAACAGGAAGAGGUUGGGGAUGGAGAAGGGAGGGAAGUUGGAAGAAGUGGGCCUGGUGAGAUAAGCAAUAUCAAGGCCUUGGAGAUCGCACAAAGGGGUUUUGACUUUCAUUCUGGAACAGUGGAAAACCACUGAGGGGAAGAUGCUAGGACUUGCUUUUUAACUGAUAAUGUGUGUGGAAUGGAGAGUGGACUGGCGGCGGCAGAAAGAACGGAGUCAAGGAGGCCAAGAAGGAGGCUGUUACAGUAACCGAAUCGAGGCAUCAAAGGGCCUAGACUGUGGUAAGGGUUGGCGAUGGAGACAAGGAGAUGGAUUUGGACAGGUUCAGAAAGCUGGGGCUGGAAUCCACUCAUUCAGCAGGAAGGGAGAGGGAGAGGUGGGCGCUGAGGAUCAGGCCUGGAAGGCCCUGGAAGGAGGACUGAGCUGCUCUGGGAGGCAGAGAACAAGAGGCAGAGCGACUUGCAGGAAGAGCAUGCAAGUUGCCGAUCUCAGUUCAGAUACGCUCAGUUGGAGGAACCUGCAAGACAUCUAGAUGCUAAAGUUCAAGAGAAUAUCUGGGGCUAUGUCUGGAUUUGUACUCAAUCCAGAAUGAGUCUUUUCAAAGCUUAUUUAUUUAUUUAUUUAUUUAUUUACAAAGCAUUUUUAAAAAGUGAACCUAGGUACACUUCGGAAGAGCCACAUUAGUUUAGUGAAAGGGGAGUCAUUGUCUAUAGCAGAGGAAAGGGAGCCCAGAAAGAUCCAAAACCCACAGUCAGGGACGUUAGAGGGUUAGUCCUUUAGUUUUGCUAAAAAAUUAAAUUAACACCGAGAUCAUACAAUUAAACACAACAUAAAACCCUGGAUCUUUGCAAACCUGCCAACCUGUACCAGUCUAUCCUAAGUUAAUCAUUGAUCACCAGACAAUAACCGAGAACUGAGCUGUGCUUUGUGCAGUCCUGGAAAUCGCAACCUUUAAGGCAAAUAAGGCAAAGUCUCACCUGAAUGACCUUCUACACUGAAGAGGCUAAUUUAACUGAGGAAGAACGAAAGUCAACGCACAGCUGGAAGAAUGUCUGGCAGCGAAGGGUAAAUGCUACGAUAAAAACAAACAAACAAACAAACAAACAAACAAAAACACCAGGCCCUGAAUCACCUCCGAAGCCCGGGAAAGGUACCGUCAUUCUUCCUGUCCUCGCCAUCCAGUUCCUGGGCCGGGCGGAGGCAUGGACGCCAACCGCUGGAUCACGGCCACCCUCAGACAAAAGGCACAGGCUCCAGAGCCACCUGCCCCACACCGCCCUCCCGGGGAAUACCCCCCCCACCCCGGCCCUCGUGGAGAGGGUGUAAGGUCCCUCGACCCCGUGGUCAGCGGGGAACCCUGGCCCCAAAGGACUUUCCAGAGGGGCCUUUAAUUGCAGCAUGGCAUGAAGAGCGGCCCUGCAGAGAUCUAGACCACUCCCGUGGUCACAGCUAAUUCUAUCGGCCGACACCGGUCUGAGAGGCCCACUGGGAUAGAGUGCGAAGUCUUAGUUCCCCGUUUGCAAUCUCUGAUUCCAACCCACGAGCCUCAACUCUGCCUCCUGCCCCAUGUUUCACAAGAACAGGAAGUUGGAGAAGUGACGGCCGUGGGCACGAGCUGCCCCUGCUGAGAAAUAGCCCGUCAGGAGCGAACUGUGCGUCCUGCGCACCGGGGGACCUGCCAGCAAGAGUCGCGGAUGCUGGAACUCUGGUCGGAGAACUAAGUCGUGUGCGGAUGGUCGCUGGCAGCCGACUCGGGGCGGAGGGGGCGCGGGGGAGUCAGCACAUACUUCUCUGCUGAACUCCAUUUCCCAUUUGGUUUGGCAGCUUGUUUUUCGUGAAAUGAGGCCAAUCCAAGAAUUCCAUGUCAACAUCGCUCCUUUUACUGGAACCACAAGCGUAGCCCCCUGGGACCUGCUGUAUCUCUGGGCGGACAUCAAAAACAACUCCUUUUUGCUUUGAAAUUAUAACAGUCUUCUGAGAGCUA